RNAcentral lists this ribosomal RNA (372 nucleotides) under Triticum aestivum (bread wheat). RNAcentral's name for it is "partial small subunit ribosomal RNA". Lineage: Eukaryota; Viridiplantae; Streptophyta; Magnoliopsida; Poales; Poaceae. The record is from RNAcentral.
AUGAGUUUCUCUGGCGCUGUGCAAUGGUGGGAUGAGUGGCAGCUGCGUAUUCUGGUGCUGGGCAGCCUCUUCAUCCAGUGCUUCCUCUUCUUCUCCUCCGUGGUGCGCAGGUGUGCUCUUCCAUCUUGGCUCAGACUGUUUAUGUGGCUUGCCUACCUAGGCGGGGAUGCUCUGGCAAUAUACGCCCUGGCCACCCUCUUCAACCGCCACAAGCAGCUGCCCGCCAAUGGGAGCGGCCUCGAGGUCCUGUGGACGCCUAUCCUCCACAUCCACCUCUGGGGCCAGCACCCGAUGACUGCCUACAACAUCGAAGACAACGAGCUGUGGGCGCGGCAUGCCAUAACCGUGGUGUCCCAGGUCACGGUGGCCCUC